Felis catus (domestic cat) is the source of this 85-nucleotide transfer RNA. It matches the Rfam family "tRNA". Rfam says of the family: Transfer RNA (tRNA) molecules are approximately 80 nucleotides in length. Their secondary structure includes four short double-helical elements and three loops (D, anti-codon, and T loops). NCBI's taxonomy places the organism in Eukaryota, Metazoa, Chordata, Mammalia, Carnivora, Felidae. The record is from Rfam.
GCCUGGGUGGCUCAGUCAGUUAAGCAUGUGAUUUCAGCUCAGAUGGUGAUCUCACGGUUUGUGAGUUCAAACCCCGCCUUGGGCU